This 236-nucleotide ribosomal RNA is filed under the name uncultured bacterium. RNAcentral's name for it is "partial 16S ribosomal RNA". It matches the Rfam family "Bacterial small subunit ribosomal RNA", at positions 15 to 240 of the family's 1533-position model. The record is from RNAcentral.
GAUCAUGGCUCAGGAUGAACGCUAGCUACAGGCUUAACACAUGCAAGUCGAGGGGAAACGACAUCGAAAGCUUGCUUUUGAUGGGCGUCGACCGGCGCACGGGUGAGUAACGCGUAUCCAACCUGCCCAUCACUUGGGAAUAACCUUGCGAAAGUAAGACUAAUGCCCAAUGAUAUCCCACGAAGGCAUCCGAAUGGGAUUAAAGAUUUAUCGGUGAUGGAUGGGGAUGCGUCCGA